RNAcentral lists this long non-coding RNA (574 nucleotides) under Hordeum vulgare. RNAcentral's name for it is "long non-coding RNA (HVUL_LNC002254)". Lineage: Eukaryota; Viridiplantae; Streptophyta; Magnoliopsida; Poales; Poaceae. The record is from RNAcentral.
UCUAAUGGACCAGACCAUUUGUCCCGAGCAUCUACAUCGACCUCUGUGUUAUCUUGGGCAGUUCGACGCCCCGACUGCCCACGUCCACGGCCACGGACGCGGUUGCUUCCUUCGCCCGCCCCCUACCUGGGCCCCUAAACCAUGAGGCGCGGAGGUUUUUGAAGACCAGGGCCUGGGGGCAUGAAUGCAGUCACCGUGCUCUUUAAACUGGUGAUCAAGAUGCCCACAUAUCGCGCACCUAUUGAGAAGUCGUUCAUAUCUGACUAGGAACCAUUAUUUUUCCCUAGCUUUAACCACCGAGACUGCAUUCUUGAGGGGCUUCUGGACAUUAGUUUCACCCUCACACGAUAGAAAUUGCCUUCAAAAUCAAGUGAUCGCGGUUCAGCAUAGAUGAACUCGCCUACCUUAACAGCAAGCGAUUUAAUCAUGGGGUAGUAGCCGUCGGGUAGAUCGUGGAUUUGGAUCCAGAUGGCCAUCAUGUCCAGAUUGAUCUUAGAUGGCUUAGUGAAACCAUCAUACUCGGUGAGCACCACCGCGCUUCCCUUGAAAGUCCAAGGGCCUUCAUCCAUGACGC